This 429-nucleotide ribosomal RNA is filed under the name Pseudomonadota bacterium. Its description in RNAcentral is "Proteobacteria bacterium partial 16S ribosomal RNA". It matches the Rfam family "Bacterial small subunit ribosomal RNA", at positions 355 to 776 of the family's 1533-position model. Lineage: Bacteria; Pseudomonadati; Pseudomonadota. The record is from RNAcentral.
UGGGGAAUAUUGGACAAUGGGCGAAAGCCUGAUCCAGCCAUGCCGCGUGUGUGAAGAAGGUCUUCGGAUUGUAAAGCACUUUAAGCUGGGAGGAAGGGCAGUAAGCGAAUACCUUGCUGUUUUGACGUUACCGACAGAAUAAGCACCGGCUAACUCUGUGCCAGCAGCCGCGGUAAUACAGAGGGUGCAAGCGUUAAUCGGAAUUACUGGGCGUAAAGCGCGCGUAGGUGGUUAGUUAAGUUGAAUGUGAAAGCCCCGGGCUCAACCUGGGAACGGCAUCCAAAACUGGCGAGCUAGAGUAGGGCAGAGGGUGGUGGAAUUUCCUGUGUAGCGGUGAAAUGCGUAGAUAUAGGAAGGAACACCAGUGGCGAAGGCGACCAACUGGGCUCAUACUGACACUGAGGUGCGAAAGCGUGGGGAGCAAACAGG